AUGCUUUGCUCCCCAGUCACCAGCAACGUGCAGGUCACCAGGACCCUCAUCGAUGGCGGGGCAGGACUUAACGUCCUGUCCGUCGAGACGUUCGACAAUCUCCAAGUGCCGUACGACCAGCUUCAGCCGACCAAGCCUUUCUCAGGAGUCACCGAUGGUUCCACUGCUCCAAUUAGGCAGGUUCGCCUUCCGGUCACCUUCGGGCAACGCAACAACUAUCGCACCGAGCUCAUCGACUUCGACGUCGCUCACAUCCGCCUGCCGUACAACGCCAUCCACGGGUACCCAGCCCUAGCCAAGUUUAUGGAGGUGACUGACCAUGGUUACAAUGUCCUCAAAAUGCCAGGAAGCGGUAGAGUCAUCACCGUACCCUGUGAAGAAAGGGACGCAGUGUGCUCGCUUGAGUGUGCGUUCCAAGCUGCAGCAAUCGAAAAUCCGGAUCACAGGAGCGGGAGGCCUCUCAAGGCGACCCUCAAGAAGAAGACCUUACCUGGCCCGAGCCACAAGGAGCCAGGCACCUCUGGAGGUAUUGCGUCAGGAUUUGUGCCCGAUCAGGGAGCGCCGCCCUCUCAUGCAUAG
This 579-nucleotide ribosomal RNA is filed under the name Triticum aestivum (bread wheat). RNAcentral describes it as "partial small subunit ribosomal RNA". The record is from RNAcentral. Lineage: Eukaryota; Viridiplantae; Streptophyta; Magnoliopsida; Poales; Poaceae.